GUGCCAGCAGCCGCGGUAAUACGUAGGGUGCGAGCGUUAAUCGGAAUUACUGGGCGUAAAGCGUGCGCAGGCGGUUCGUUAAGUCAGAUGUGAAAGCCCCGGGCUCAACCUGGGAACUGCAUUUGAAACUGGCGGGCUUGAGUAUGGCAGAGGGGGGUGGAAUUCCGCGUGUAGCAGUGAAAUGCGUAGAGAUGCGGAGGAACACCGAUGGCGAAGGCAGCCCCCUGGGCCAAUACUGACGCUCAGGCACGAAAGCGUGGGGAGCAAACAGGAUUAGAAACCCCCGUAGUCC
RNAcentral lists this ribosomal RNA (292 nucleotides) under uncultured bacterium. RNAcentral's name for it is "partial 16S ribosomal RNA". It matches the Rfam family "Bacterial small subunit ribosomal RNA", at positions 505 to 796 of the family's 1533-position model. The record is from RNAcentral.